This 688-nucleotide ribosomal RNA is filed under the name uncultured bacterium. RNAcentral describes it as "bacterial SSU rRNA". It matches the Rfam family "Bacterial small subunit ribosomal RNA", at positions 8 to 677 of the family's 1533-position model. The record is from RNAcentral.
AGAGUUUGAUCCUGGCUCAGGACGAACGCUGGCGGCGUGCUUAACACAUGCAAGUCAGGGAGAACGGAGCUCUUCGGAGCUCCUAGUAAACCGGCGGACGGGUGAGUAACACGUAGGUAACCUGCCUUAGGGUCGGGGAUAACCUCGCUAACGCGGGGCUAAUACCGGAUAAAGCAACGAAUUCGCAUGGGUUUGUUGUUAAAGUGGGCUUCGGCUCACGCCUAAAGAUGGACCUGCGCCCCAUUAGCUAGUUGGUGAGUUAAAAGCCCACCAAGGCUACGAUGGGUAGCCGGCCUGAGAGGGUGAUCGGCCACACUGGGACUGAGAUACGGCCCAGACUCCUACGGGAGGCAGCAGUGAGGAAUAUUGGGCAAUGGCCGAAAGGCUGACCCAGCAACGCCGCGUGAGGGAUGAAGCUCUAAGGAGUGUAAACCUCUUUCGGGAGGGAAGAACCACUUUAAGGCAAAUAGUCUUAGAGUCUGACGGUACCUCCUAAAGAAGCCCCGGCUAACUCCGUGCCAGCAGCCGCGGUAAUACGGGGGGGGCAAGCGUUGUCCGGAAUUAUUGGGCGUAAAGGGCGCGUAGGCGGAGCGAUAAGUCAGAGGUGAAAAUCCUGAGCUUAACUUAGGACCUGCCUUUGAAACUGUCGUUCUUGAGUGCGAGAGGGGAAAGUGGAAUUCCCGGUGUA